RNAcentral lists this long non-coding RNA (966 nucleotides) under Sinocyclocheilus anshuiensis. Its description in RNAcentral is "lncRNA (ENSSANG00000000101.1)". Lineage: Eukaryota; Metazoa; Chordata; Actinopteri; Cypriniformes; Cyprinidae. The record is from RNAcentral.
UGAUUUUUGUGACAUUAUUUACUUUGAUCAAUCUCUUUCUUAGUCAAAACUCUUCCUUAUGUGAGAGUCCAUUCAAAUGCAGUGAUGCAGAGGCCAGUACUGUAGUUGAAGCUGCUGCAGAAUAUGGGGAACCCCUCCCAGUACCAUCUGAAGGUAAAAUUGUAUUUAAUGUUUUUCAAUACUUUUACAAGUUACAUGACUUUGUUAACUUCGUUUCUAUUUUGCAGUGGACAAAUGGGUCUUCUUCACAAAGUAAAAGAUCAUUAACUCUUUGCAGUGUGAUCUCAGAAGAAGGUAGAAAAGGCCAGAAGAAUGCCAGAAGUCAGUAAUGUCCCUGGUGCAAAGAUUUUUGUUUUAUUAAUGUUUUAUUUUUUAAAACAUUGCUUUAUUUAUUAGAACAAGACACACACACACACACACCCCUCUCAUUCAUUUGGUGAAAUUACCAAGUUAUUUUUGCAGUAACAUUGGUGAACGUGUUUCUGAACUUCAAAUGCACGUGUUUCAGUGCCAAAGAUCAUGUUCAUACUUUAAAGGUUGAAUAGUUAAUCUCUAAAACCUGAGUUUUUUUUUUCUUCUUCAGACUUUUACAGUGCCUUUUCGUGUGUGUGUGUUUGUUUUGUUUAUUUCUAUUUAUACACCUAUUCUGACAAGUCCUUUAGGAACAAGUGAGCAAGUUUAAGCUUAGGUACAAGGUUAAGAAAACUUUGCUUUGUAAUUACUGCCAUUAGGAACCAAUAUACAUUGGGUAUUAGGACAAGAAGAGUUCGUCUUCGCAAGAUGACCAAGAAAUCAAACUCUGUAGCAAGAAUGUGAAGUUCCAUGCCUGAUGUAAAAAAGAAAUAAUACUCUACUUUUUUCCCUGGAAUGUGUACCAUCUGAAUCAAGUACUAGUAUACAGGAAAUAAACUCGGAUCAAUCUUUUUUGUUUUCCAUGAUAAUAUAUUUACACAAUUAAAAGUGUUU